CUUUGGCCAUACCACCCUGAUAGAUCUGGUCUUUUCUGAUCUUGGAAGCUAAACAGGGCUGGGCCUGGUCAGUACUUGGAAUAGAAAGUUAAUAGGUGAAUGCAAAUUGCCUUAAAGC
Molecule: ribosomal RNA, 118 nt
Filed under: Castor canadensis (American beaver)
Lineage: Eukaryota; Metazoa; Chordata; Mammalia; Rodentia; Castoridae
Source: RNAcentral